GGUAGUAUAGCUCAGUGGUAGAGCACGUGCCUAGCAUGCAUGAGGCCCUGAGUUCAAUCCCCAGUGCCUCUA
Molecule: transfer RNA, 72 nt
Filed under: Camelus bactrianus (Bactrian camel)
Lineage: Eukaryota; Metazoa; Chordata; Mammalia; Artiodactyla; Camelidae
Also listed under: 2 other names
Rfam family: tRNA
About the family: Transfer RNA (tRNA) molecules are approximately 80 nucleotides in length. Their secondary structure includes four short double-helical elements and three loops (D, anti-codon, and T loops).
Source: Rfam by way of RNAcentral